Molecule: ribosomal RNA, 625 nt
Filed under: uncultured bacterium
Lineage: Bacteria
Description: bacterial SSU rRNA
Rfam family: Bacterial small subunit ribosomal RNA
Source: RNAcentral
AGUGGCGGACGGGUGAGUAACGCGUGGGUAACCUACCCAUAAACCCGGGACAACCCUUGGAAACGAGGGCUAAUACCGGAUAAUCUUUGAGAGUGGCAUCACUCUUUAAGAAAAGGUGGCCUCUGAAAAUGCUACCGAUUAUGGAUGGACCCGCGUCUGAUUAGCUAGUUGGUGGGGUAAAGGCCUACCAAGGCGACGAUCAGUAGCCGGCCUGAGAGGGUGAACGGCCACACUGGGACUGAGACACGGCCCAGACUCCUACGGGAGGCAGCAGUGGGGAAUCUUCCGCAAUGGACGAAAGUCUGACGGAGCAACGCCGCGUGUAUGAUGAAGGUCUUCGGAUUGUAAAGUACUGUCUUUGGGGAAGAAUGACUGAUUUGAGAAUAUUGAGUCAGUAUGACGGUACCCAAGGAGGAAGCCCCGGCUAACUACGUGCCAGCAGCCGCGGUAAUACGUAGGGGGCAAGCGUUGUCCGGAAUUAUUGGGCGUAAAGGGCGCGUAGGCGGAUAGUUAAGUCCGGUGUGAAAGAUCAGGGCUCAACCCUGAGAGUGCAUCGGAAACUGGUUAUCUUGAGGACAGGAGAGGAUAGUGGAAUUCCACGUGUAGCGGUGAAAUGCGUAGAUAU